UCUGAUGGUAAAGAAUCUGCCUGCAAUGCAGGAGGCCAGGGUUCGAUCCCUG
This 52-nucleotide transfer RNA is filed under the name Capra hircus (goat). It matches the Rfam family "tRNA", at positions 10 to 63 of the family's 71-position model. From Rfam's summary of the family: Transfer RNA (tRNA) molecules are approximately 80 nucleotides in length. The record is from Rfam by way of RNAcentral. RNAcentral also lists the same sequence under 1 other name. Lineage: Eukaryota; Metazoa; Chordata; Mammalia; Artiodactyla; Bovidae.